AUUCUCCGGUUCUCGUUAGAUCACCGAAGUCAAGCAUCAUUGGGCGCGGUCAGUACUUGGGAGGGUGACCACCUGGGAACACCGCGUGCCGUU
Molecule: ribosomal RNA, 93 nt
Filed under: Caerostris darwini
Lineage: Eukaryota; Metazoa; Arthropoda; Arachnida; Araneae; Araneidae
Source: RNAcentral